Xiphophorus couchianus (Monterrey platyfish) is the source of this 1353-nucleotide long non-coding RNA. RefSeq lists it as uncharacterized. The record is from RefSeq and is a predicted model, not a curated record. The transcript has 2 exons. Lineage: Eukaryota; Metazoa; Chordata; Actinopteri; Cyprinodontiformes; Poeciliidae.
CAGACAACGUGCUGUGUGUGUGCAAGUGCAUGUAUUUAUGUGGACAGAGUGUGCAACUCUGCACAGAGGAAGGAAGGAAGUCACAAGAUGAUGGGGAUUUCAAAACUGAGCUACAGCUGUUGGAGGUGAUGGAUGCCCCGGCUGUCCGUUCUCUCCCCGGAGUGGAGGUGGGUGCAAGGUGAUGAUGUCGUCGUCCUCCGGAGGCUUCCAUAUGUACUGCUCUCCAUUGCCUAUGAACACCGUUUCCUGAUAAACAAAGUCAAAUGAUGAGCUUCAUAAAGUGCUGCUGUGAGGUUAGAAUCUGUGAGCCAUUGUGCAAAGGUACUCAUGCAAAUAAAAGCUCUAAUGUUUUAAUAUUUCCCCCUGUAUGAGUUAAAAGCAGAUGAACAAAAAUAAGUGAAUUAUUCAUGUGUGUUUCCAAGGAAUGGGCCAGUUUCCAGGAGUCAGUCCUGGAUUGUAUGGACCCAAAGUUGGAUUGGAUCAGGGAAACCUCAGACUAUGACUAGUUCCUAUUUUGUAUCAUCUGGAUUUGGAUGUUUAUGGAUUGGACAUUUAACAUUGUAAAUAUGAAGAUUGAUAAUUGGAAAUAAAGAUAGGUAAAGUCUAUUAUUCUAUUAAAAUUAGAAAAUCAAGAAGGUAAAAUAUUCUGUGCAAUAAGAACCUUGAUUUAAAAACUACGACUGAAUUCAGGUUUAGUCUAUAUUUUGCUUAAUUCUUUGCAUUAAACUCAAAAAUAACAUAAAUGUUAUAGACAACAAUAUAAUAACUAGCAACAUAUUUCUCUUAGCAGCAGGAACAUUUCUUGUUCUUUCUAAAAACCAAAAGCUUAUGCAAUAUUAUUUUGAAUUUUUGCUGUUAUAACCACAAUACUCUAAAAACAACACUUUGAAACUCAGUUCCAGGCUUCACUUGCCCUGCAGGAUCAUUUUGACUGGAAAGCUUUGAAGAAAUAGUGAAAUCAUAACUUUUUAGCUAAAUAUAGUACAUCCAUCCAUCAUUUUACACGCUCAGCCCUAUUGGGAUUAAAAAGGGUGCUGGUGACUAUCUCCUGAGAACAAUGGGCGAGAGGCAGGGUACACCCUGGUCAGAUGGCCAGUCCAUCACAGGCUAAACAUACACUAUGACAUAAUCUCAAAUGCCAUGAAAUAAUGGCCUUUUGGACAAAAGGUUGGUUAUUUAAAUGACGAUCAAACAAAUAACAAAACAAAUUGACAACUCUUUUUGACAACAAGCAGGUGCUCUGACAUCAGUUAAAACCUGAAAUUAGCUGUCCUCUACUUCGUGGCUCUUCAGAUGGAGAUUUCAGAGUAAGCUCUGUGUAGUCAUAAAAACAAUAUUAAAUUAUUGAAUCAC